CACGAACGCUGGCGGCAGGCCUAACACAUGCAAGUCGAGCGAGGUAGCAAUACCUAGCUGCGGACGGGUGAGUAACGCCUGGGAACGUGCCCCUUGGUACGGAAUAGCCCCGUGAAAAUGGGAGUAAUACCGUAUGAGCUCUACGGAGGACAGAUUUAUCGCCAAGUGAUCGGCCCGCGCUGGAUUUGGUUGUUGUUAGGGUAAUGUCCUACCAAGUCGACGAUCCAUGGCUGGUUUGAGAGGAGGAUCAGACACCCUGGCACUGAGGCGCGGCCGCGCCCCCUACGGUGGGCAGCAGGAGGGAAUCUUAGGCCAGGGAGGCAAGCCUAAUCUAGCCAUGGCGCGUGAGCGAUGCAGGCCUUAGGGUGGUAAAGCUCUGACGGCUGGCAAGAUAAUGACUGUACCAGCAGAAGAAGCCCCGGCUAACUCCGUGCCAGCCGCCGCAGUAA
RNAcentral lists this ribosomal RNA (449 nucleotides) under uncultured bacterium. RNAcentral's name for it is "partial 16S ribosomal RNA". It matches the Rfam family "Bacterial small subunit ribosomal RNA", at positions 29 to 523 of the family's 1533-position model. The record is from RNAcentral.